Molecule: ribosomal RNA, 381 nt
Filed under: uncultured bacterium
Lineage: Bacteria
Description: bacterial SSU rRNA
Rfam family: Bacterial small subunit ribosomal RNA
Source: RNAcentral
CCGCGGUAAUACGUAGGGUGCAAGCGUUAAUCGGAAUUACUGGGCGUAAAGCGUGCGCAGGCGGCUUUGCAAGACAGAUGUGAAAUCCCCGGGCUCAACCUGGGAACUGCAUUUGUGACUGCAAGGCUAGAGUACGGUAGAGGGGAGUGGAAUUCCGCGUGUAGCAGUGAAAUGCGUAGAUAUGCGGAGGAACACCGAUGGCGAAGGCAGCUCCCUGGACCUGUACUGACGCUCAUGCACGAAAGCGUGGGGAGCAAACAGGAUUAGAUACCCUGGUAGUCCACGCCCUAAACGAUGUCAACUGGUUGUUGGACGGCUUGCUGUUCAGUAACGAAGCUAACGCGUGAAGUUGACCGCCUGGGGAGUACGGCCGCAAGGUUG